UCUUAUGUACAUACCUACAACAUAGCGUUAAUGCAUCGAAUCCCAUUAGAACUCCGUAGUUAAGUGUGCUCGGGCCAUAGUAAUAUUGGGAUGUGUGACCGCCCGAGAAGUCCUAGUAUUUUACAUGCC
Molecule: non-coding RNA, 129 nt
Organism: Picea glauca (white spruce)
Lineage: Eukaryota; Viridiplantae; Streptophyta; Pinopsida; Pinales; Pinaceae
Source: Rfam